Molecule: ribosomal RNA, 533 nt
Filed under: uncultured bacterium
Lineage: Bacteria
Description: bacterial SSU rRNA
Rfam family: Bacterial small subunit ribosomal RNA
Source: RNAcentral
GAGUUUGAUCAUGGCUCAGGACGAACGCUGGCGGCGUGCCUAAUACAUGCAAGUCGUGCGGACCUUUUAAAAGCUUGCUUUUAAAAGGUUAGCGGCGGACGGGUGAGUAACACGUGGGCAACCUGCCUGUAAGAUCGGGAUAACGCCGGGAAACCGGGGCUAAUACCGGAUAGUUUUUUCCUCCGCAUGGAGGAAAAAGGAAAGACGGCUUCGGCUGUCACUUACAGAUGGGCCCGCGGCGCAUUAGCUAGUUGGUGGGGUAACGGCUCACCAAGGCCACGAUGCGUAGCCGACCUGAGAGGGUGAUCGGCCACAUUGGGACUGAGACACGGCCCAAACUCCUACGGGAGGCAGCAGUAGGGAAUCUUCCGCAAUGGACGAAAGUCUGACGGAGCAACGCCGCGUGAGUGAAGAAGGCCUUCGGGUCGUAAAACUCUGUUGCCGGGGAAGAACAAGUGCCGUUCGAACAGGGCGGCGCCUUGACGGUACCCGGCCAGAAAGCCACGGCUAACUACGUGCCAGCAGCCGCGGUA